Molecule: non-coding RNA, 271 nt
Organism: Pelobates cultripes (western spadefoot toad)
Lineage: Eukaryota; Metazoa; Chordata; Amphibia; Anura; Pelobatidae
Source: the annotation of a GenBank genome assembly
GUCAUGCCUAAGGACGCUUAAUGAUAGUUUUAGUAUAAUUUAUUUGAAAUCACAAUGUUUAAUUUGUAAAGAAGGGGCAAUAAGUGAAGAAGUGCUAGUCUAAGGUUAGGCCAACACAAACGUAGGUUGUUAGCAAAUGACACUACACUGAGCUUCUACGCCCCAACCCUAUACCCUCUGAUGUCCUCUACGGUUUGAAGUAUGCAUAUUAAAAGCUCAAUGGUCAGAGUUAAGGGCAAAUGUGAAAAAGAACAUCCCUGCCUUGUUCCCC